CGAGUGAAGCGGGAAGAGCUCAACUUGAAAAUCUGGGUCGUUGUACGGCUCCGAAUUGUAGUCUAAAGAAACGCAGCCAUCGGCCGACGCGAGACAAGUCCCUUGGAAAAGGGCGCCCCAGAGGGUGACAGUCCCGUACAUGCUUGCGUGGGUCCGUCUACGGCGUGUUUUCGACGAGUCGAGUUGCUUGGGAUUGCAGCUCAAAGUGGGUGGUAAAUUCCAUCUAAGGCUAAAUAUCGGUGGGAGACCGAUAGCGAACAAGUACCGUGAGGGAAAGAUGCAAAGGACUUUGAAAAGAGAGUA
This 303-nucleotide ribosomal RNA is filed under the name Nannochloropsis sp. NB-1. Its description in RNAcentral is "eukaryotic LSU rRNA". It matches the Rfam family "Eukaryotic large subunit ribosomal RNA", at positions 90 to 389 of the family's 3401-position model. Lineage: Eukaryota; Eustigmatophyceae; Eustigmatales; Monodopsidaceae. The record is from RNAcentral.